GUUUCAACGAUCUGUUCGUGGACACAAUGACGCCUCUACGUUUCGCUGUUGUCUUCGUCCUCCUCUUUGGUGUAUUUGUCGCCAGUGAAGCUGCACCUGAAGGACACGAGCUUGAACGUCGUGACGAUGACUUCGGUGUCUGCACUUGUGUUCAGGGUAUUACAUGCCCUCAUAACAUCCCUUGCACAAAGUUUAGCGAGUGUAAGAAAUGCUUCGUUCUCGGUGGACGAAAACAUGGCUGACCGGCAACCCUUAACAACGAAACGAUCAAUUGCACGUAUAUGAAAUAAGAGACCCUGGUCUUCUCUUUUACUAACAUGAUCAUG
Molecule: long non-coding RNA, 326 nt
Organism: Ornithodoros turicata
Lineage: Eukaryota; Metazoa; Arthropoda; Arachnida; Ixodida; Argasidae
Exons: 3
Source: RefSeq, a predicted model, not a curated record